CUCAUUUUUCUACUGCUCGUGGAUUUACGCGCACGUUGGAACCGAAGAGAGCUCUGUUGUUGCAAUGUUCAGCCCACAAGAGCUUACUGGUGAAGGAAUGGGACAAGACCCAUCUUUAUGCAAAGCCAGCGUUACAGUAAUGUUCCAGGUAUUCCUGAUGACAGUCUGCCUCUAUCUUACAGUACUACUAACCAAUAACCUGCUUGGCUCAAAGGGCCAGCACCUUCUCUCUAAAGCCCAAGAGGAGUUUGAGGAAAACUAGGUGUCUGUGUUCACUCCAGGCUGAAGUUACAGGUCUGAGCAAAUAAGGUGUAUAAAAAAUGGAAUCUGUCUUGGAGGACAUCAGAAGGUGAAUUUUCCAAGUUCUUGGACAACCUAGCUGUUGAAAAGCUUUCUGGGUUUGGGGGGUAUUUCAGAUGUACCUUAAAGUGUUAGCAGACACAGAUUAAGACACUGGGAGCCAAUGAAACAGCAGUUGAGGGUUUGCUGUGUAUCACAUUUCUGUAUUUUAUCACCCCCUUCCUGCAACAUUAUUUAUCUGGAAUCUACCUGCCCUUUUGUUUUUUAGAUACAAGGGCUUGGUUUUGUUACCCAGGCUGGUUUCAAGGCCAUAGCUUUAAGAGAUCCUCUCACCACAGAUUUCCAAAGUGCUGGGAUUGCAGGUGUGAUUCAUGGCACCCAGACUUUGCUGCCUUUCUUACAUGAUCCAGGCCCAGAACCCAAACUCAGGCACUGUAUAGAUGACCACUUUCGUAAACUACUGACCUAGCUUGUUGCCAAUUGUUGAUUGAACUUCCCAUAACUCCACUUCGUGUCUGUUCCUCUGUAUACAGCCACCUUCUGUUCCCGUCAUGAGCCUUUAGGUCUCCAUUUGCAUAUUGCAAAUACUAUGUUCCAUGUAGGUAGCUCAUUCAGGGCCUUGCUCUUCACUUCAAAAAAGGUUCCCUUGAGGACUGGCUGUCAAUUUGUGUUGCUGUGUUGGUUGUUGAUGAAAAUAAUAAAAUGAUUGAUUACAUAGUCCUGUUUAAAAAAAAAAAAA
This 1039-nucleotide long non-coding RNA is filed under the name Homo sapiens (human). RNAcentral describes it as "small nucleolar RNA host gene 1, transcript variant 7 (SNHG1)". The record is from RNAcentral. Lineage: Eukaryota; Metazoa; Chordata; Mammalia; Primates; Hominidae.